This 484-nucleotide ribosomal RNA is filed under the name uncultured bacterium. RNAcentral's name for it is "partial 16S ribosomal RNA". It matches the Rfam family "Bacterial small subunit ribosomal RNA", at positions 30 to 507 of the family's 1533-position model. The record is from RNAcentral.
AUUGAACGCUGGCGGCAGGCCUAACACAUGCAAGUCGAGCGGAUGAAGGGAGCUUGCUCCUGGAUUCAGCGGCGGACGGGUGAGUAAUGCCUAGGAAUCUGCCUGGUAGUGGGGGAUAACGUCUGGAAACGGGCGCUAAUACCGCAUACGUCCUGAGGGAGAAAGUGGGGGAUCUUCGGACCUCACGCUAUCAGAUGAGCCUAGGUCGGAUUAGCUAGUUGGUGGGGUAAAGGCCUACCAAGGCGACGAUCCGUAACUGGUCUGAGAGGAUGAUCAGUCACACUGGGACUGAGACACGGUCCAGACUCCUACGGGAGGCAGCAGUGGGGAAUAUUGGACAAUGGGCGAAAGCCUGAUCCAGCCAUGCCGCGUGUGUGAAGAAGGUCUUCGGAUUGUAAAGCACUUUAAGUUGGGAGGAAGGGCAGUAAGUUAAUACCUUGCUGUUUUGACGUUACCAACAGAAUAAGCACCGGCUAACUUCGUG